UGCAUCUUCACCAAUUGAAGUGAUCGAUCUGACUUCACCGCCACCAGUGGCCCUAGUGUCACCGGUCCAAAACCCAAUGCAGGGGUUUAAUGUGGACUUUAUAACGCCUCAAAACCAGGCACAAGAGGGCGAUCGCUCUACGAUAGACGGGGCAGUUUGGGGACAGACUUCGGGAUUCGUGGAAAACAUUUUAACACCGCCGGUCCAAAACCCACUGCAUUUUAUUGUGGGGUUUACAAGUCCAAACUCAAGUCACGGGAUUGCGCCACUGACGCCCUCAACGCUGGAUGUGACAGGUUCCAAGCAACACAAGAUGAGAUGUAGAUUUCCUGUGCGAGCACACACAAAUAACUGUUAGUGGACAGUAGACUUGAUGGAGGUUGUGGGAAGAAUUUAAAUUUACGGGACGCAUCCUCAGUAGUGUUACUCUGGGUCGUAGGGUGUUUCGGCCUUUAACACUAUACACACUCGCCAGAGGCGGCCAGCUGUAGGGUGAUCAGUCCUCAGCUUGCGUCCCAAGUCCAAUUAGCCAGGAGAAUCACCUUGGACAUCUCAUGGGACUAUGCAUGGCAGGGGCGUCCUGUUCCCUGAGUCAAGCCUAAGCCGACCGCAUACCUCCUGUCAACCUACUUGGCCCAACUGGGGUCGUUCCUCUUCAGCCAGAGCCACUGGCUGCUUCUUUCUGCGGCCUCCGAUGCAGCUUUGAUGGCUGCGCGCUGGAUCUUGCCCUUAACUCCCAAGUCCCUAAGCAGUUUUGUGGUGGAUGUUCCCACAAACCCUCUACACCCAACCUCCACUGGGCGGACUUCCGUGUUCCAGCCACGAUGCCUUGCGUCGGAGGCUAAGUCGGCAUACCGCAGAUGUUUCCGCUCAAAAGCCUCCUCCAUAGAAUCCUCCCAGGGUACGGUAAGUUCGAUUAUGUACACUUUCUUUAUGGAGGGGGACCAGAGCACCAGGUCAGGCCUCAAGGUGGUGGUGGCAAUCUCUGAGGGGAACACCAGCUGUUUGCCAAUGUCUGCUAGCAUCUUCCAGUCACGUGCAAGGGACAGCUGGCUUCUCUCUGAUGGAGUUGAGUUACUUUUGGUAGCUGUAGCCCCUUCACGGACAAAGGCCGUUGCCCAUGGGGUUGUUGGAGUGUUAGACAUUGGCAGUGCUAGGGCGUUGGUGCUGGCUCGUUUUUCCUCCAGUGUAGCAGCAAGGCUCUUUAGGACUUGGUUAUGGCGCCAAGUGUAUCGUCCUUGAGCAAGGCUGGUUUUACACCCCGUGAGUAUAUGCCGGAGGGAGGCUGGCGUGGAGCACAAGACACACCCGGGAUCUUCCCCAAACCACUGGUGGCGAUUAGUUGGUGUUGGGAGGACGUCAUAUGUGGCCCUGAUGGCAAAGCUCAGGCCCCUUGCUUCCAUGGCCCACACAUCCUUCCAGCUCAACCUCCUCCUUUCAACACUCUCCCACCGUGUCCACAGUCCCUGUUUGCCAAGGGCGACUGCCUUGGCCCAUCUUGCCAUCUCCUCUUGACGUCGCACUUCCUUCACCACCAUCUUCCUCCGCACUGGAGCAGUGGCAUUCCUCCAAGCUGGGCAGCUAGUUGUUAGGCCAAGACCUCCCCUUCCUUGCUGAAUGUUCCCUACGAUAUCAGCAUGUCUAAGAGCUGCUGUUGCCUCCUCUACUGCUCUUGCGGGUCUCCACUUGCGCCCAGUAGCCAAAGUCGGUGCGUUUUCUCUGAUCACUAGGUCUUUGGAUUCGUUCAAGGUCAUCUGCAGGCGUGUUUUGGCACACUUGAACUCCUCUGUAAGGCUCGUGAGGGGUAGUUUGAGCACACUGUCUCCGUAGAGGCCUAUGGUGGUGAGGCAACGCGGGACACCAAGCCACUUCUUGAUGUGGACAGUGACUUGCCUCUCUAGCUUCUCUACCGUUGAGAUGGGCACCUCAUAGACUGCCAGGGGCCACAACACCCGGGGUAGCAGACCAAACUGGAAACACCAGGCCUUUAGCUUCCCAGGUAGUUGGGUUUUGUCAAUUGCCUGUAGGCUUGCUUUGAUGUCAUUACGCAGUUGCUUCACCUGGUCUUUGUCUUUCAGGCUAGCAUCAUAGAGCCUUCCAAGGCUUUUAACUGGCUGCUCAGAAAUGGUGGGGAUUGGCUCAUCACCGAUGAAGAACUGCAAGUCAGUAAGCACACCCUUCACCACUGAGAUGCUGCGUGACUUAGAUGGUUUGAUCUUCAUGCGGGCCCAGCUGAUGUUCUCUUCAAGUUUUCUGAGUAACCUUCUGGUGCAUGGGACGGUGGUAGUCAGGGUGGUGAUGUCAUCCAUGUAGGCUCUGAGGGGAGGGAGGCGCCGGCCAGAGUCGAGUCUUUGUCCUCCGACAACCCACUUUGAGGCUUGGAUGAUGACCUCCAUCGCCAAGGUGAAAGCCAAGGGAGAGACUGUGCAUCCGGCCAUGAUGCCUACUUCAAGGCACUGCCAAGAGGUGGUAAAUUCAGGCGUAGUGAAGCAAAAUUGCAAGUCCUGAAAGUAGGCUUUGAUUAGGGUUGUGAUGGUGUCCGGGAUGUUAAAGAACUCGAAGGAAGUCCAGAGGAGUUCAUGGGGCACAGAGCCAAAGGCAUUUGCAAGAUCCAGGAAAAUCGCGUGGAGAUCCCUUUUCUCCAACUUUGCCAUUUGGAUCUGGUGCCAGAUCAUGCUGGCAUGUUCUAGGCACCCAGAGAAGCCCGAUAUUCCUGCCUUUUGCACAGAUGUGUCCACGUACCCAUUUCUGUGCAGGUACUGCGCCAUCCGUUGUGCAAUGACUCCGAAGAAUAUCUUGCCCUCCACAUUAAGCAAGGGAAUGGGGCGGAACUGGUUGAUGUUUGAUGCGUUCUUCUCCUUUGGGAUAAGGAUCCCGCCUGCCCUACGCCACGCUUUGGGUAUGGUCCUCUUCUUCCAUAUCGUCCUCAUGAGGCUCCAGAGAAACCUGCAGACAUCUGGUGCGUUCUUGUAUACUUUGUAUGGGACACCGUUUGGCCCAGGAGCUGAUGCUGUUCGCGCACGGUGGACGAUCUUCUCCACUUCUUUCCACGUUGGAGGACCGAUAUCAAAUUGAUGCUCUGGGGGGUCGAUUGGUGGCAUGUCUGGAGGGAUGGUCAUGCAUACGAAGCGCUUUGGAUCAGAGUGCGUUGAUCUCAGGUGCUCCUCCAGGUCAUUCUUUGUUGUUUUUAAAACUCCACUUUUCUCCUUGGUGAAAAGAGUCUUCAGGAACUUGAAGGGAUCUUUAUAGAACCGAGUUCUUGUUUGUUCUUUAUUCCUCCUUCGUUUCCGGGAAUUCUCUGCUCUACGGAGGGAUGCCAGACGUGUUUUAAUGUCAGCUUGGAGGGUGCUUAUGCCCUCCUUUUCCACUUCUGAGGCCUUCUUCCAAAGCCUUCUGAGCUGUCUCCUUUCUUGAACAAGGCAUUUGAUUUUCUGUUGUCUUCUGGAGACUGGUGGAGUGGGAGUCUUUUUAGCACCUUUCGACUGUAGGACCCCAAAGCGUUCUGCUCCAUAUUGAUAGAUAACAGAGGGACAGAGGGAGAAAACGACACAGAAUUCGAGGAAAACACAGCAGAGUCCGAUGUGGGACAAGAAACGGGACAGGAGGAGACAUCUGACGCUGGAGUCUACAACCAGGAAAGAUUUCAUUAUUUUCCAGAUAGUGAAAGUGAAUAUGUUGACAUGCAAGCUCUAAAUCAGAGGGAUAUAGCCUCAGACAGUGAUGGAAUUGAAACAGUGGAUUUCAACACCUCUGUGCUAAUUGUCGAACAAGUGUUCAGAAGAUACAUGUAUGAUAUAGCAUGUUUAAAUCGCCGCAUGAUUGAGAAUAUAUAUAAUCAACUUAGACAGAACGUUAGACGCAGGCAUUCCGUCAUUUCAUAUUCAGCUAACGCUAGACGUGCCAGUCGUGAACAAAGAACACUGCCACAAAGAGUCCAUCGCAGGUUGCAAUUUGAAGACUAAUUUUUGAUUGGGUGAUAAAGACAAAUGGCUGAACCAGAUCACAACAAUUCCCCUGAAAUUAGAGACCAUCUCCUCCACUUGAUCUCUGAGAUAAACCGAGAAAGAUCCGAAG
This is a long non-coding RNA of Dunckerocampus dactyliophorus (ringed pipefish), 4074 nucleotides long. RefSeq lists it as uncharacterized. The transcript is spliced from 4 exons. Lineage: Eukaryota; Metazoa; Chordata; Actinopteri; Syngnathiformes; Syngnathidae. The record is from RefSeq and is a predicted model, not a curated record.